Molecule: unclassified non-coding RNA, 271 nt
Filed under: air metagenome
Description: partial contains small subunit ribosomal RNA, internal transcribed spacer 1, and 5.8S ribosomal RNA
Rfam family: Eukaryotic small subunit ribosomal RNA (bases 1-46)
Source: RNAcentral
AAGUCGUAACAAGGUUUCCGUAGGUGAACCUGCGGAAGGAUCAUUAACGAGUUCUGAAAGGGGUUGUAGCUGGCCUUCCGGGGCAUGUGCACACCCUGCUCAUCCACUCUACACCUGUGCACUUACUGUAGGUUUGGCGUGGGCUUCGGGGCCUCCGGGUCUUUGAGGCAUUCUGCCGGCCUAUGUAUCACUACAAACACAUAGAGUAACAGAAUGUAUUAGCGUCUAACGCAUCUAAAUACAACUUUCAGCAACGGAUCUCUUGGCUCUC